GUCUACCAGUUGCCACUUCUGGUCCAUUUGCAUAUAACACUGGAGAAGUGUUCCUUUAUCUUUGUGAAGCCCUUAACAUUCAAGGAGCCACUACUGCUUCUAUGCUGCUGAAAAAUACAAGACACUGCCUCUACCUCUGCAUCUGUCCUUUGCUUUUUGCUUGGAAACUAUCACAUCAAAUCACACUGAGAUCAGUUCCUACUGAGCUCUCACUGGCAAACUAUCAGUAGAAGAAGCCUGGACAAAACUGAGUUCAAUGCUUCACAAUUGCUGCGCUCUUCUUCUCCCCAGUGGAAAAAAAAAUGCUCUCUGCACCACAUGGCCGCUGGCCGCUGCCAGAGGAUGGAGG
RNAcentral lists this long non-coding RNA (349 nucleotides) under Homo sapiens (human). RNAcentral's name for it is "HSALNT0393595". The record is from RNAcentral. Lineage: Eukaryota; Metazoa; Chordata; Mammalia; Primates; Hominidae.